This 944-nucleotide ribosomal RNA is filed under the name uncultured organism. Its description in RNAcentral is "bacterial SSU rRNA". It matches the Rfam family "Bacterial small subunit ribosomal RNA", at positions 233 to 1191 of the family's 1533-position model. The record is from RNAcentral.
GCGUCCAAUUAGCUAGUUGGUGGGGUAAAGGCCUACCAAGGCGACGAUUGGUAGCCGAACUGAGAGGUUGAUCGGCCACAUUGGGACUGAGACACGGGGCGGACUCCUACGGGAGGCGGCGGUGGGGAAUAUUGCGCAAUGAGGGGAACCCUGACGCAGCAACGCCGCGUGAAGGAUGAAGGUUUUCGGAUCGUAAACUUCUUUGAUUGNGGAAGAAGAAAGUGACGGUACCCAAAAAACAAGCCACGGCUAACUACGUGCCAGCAGCCGCGGUAAUACGUAGGUGGCAAGCGUUGUCCGGAAUUACUGGGUGUAAAGGGCGUGUAGGCGGGGGUGCAAGUCAGAUGUGAAAGCCCAGGGCUCAAACCUGGGACUGCAUCUGAAACUGCAUCUCUUGAGUGCCGGAGAGGAAAGCGGAAUUCCUAAGUGUAGCGGUGAAAUGCGUAGAGAUUGGGAGGAACACCAGUGGCGAAGGCGGCUUUCUGGACGGUAACUGACGCUGAGGCGCGAAAGCGUGGGGAGUAAACAGGAUUAGAUACCCUGGUAGUCCACGCCGUAAACGAUGGAUACUAGGUGUAGGGGGUAUCGACCCCCUCUGUGCCGGAGUUAACACAAUAAGUAUCCCACCUGGGGACUACGAUCGCAAGAUUGAAACUCAAAGGAAUUGACGGGGGCCCGCACAAGCAGUGGAGUAUGUGGUUUAAUUCGAAGCAACGCGAAGAACCUUACCAGGGCUUGACAUCCUGCGACGACACUAGAGAUAGUGUUGUCCUACGGGACGCAGAGACAGGUGGUGCAUGGUUGUCGUCAGCUCGUGUCGUGAGAUGUUGGGUUAAGUCCCGCAACGAGCGCAACCCCUGUUGUUAGUUGCCAGCAGGUUAAGCUGGGCACUCUAACGAGACUGCCGGUGACAAAUCGGAGGAAGGUGGGGAUGACGUCAAAUC